AGUGAACGCUGGCGGCGUGCUUAACACAUGCAAGUCGAACGGAGUUGUUUCGCUGAUGAGACUUCGGUCAAAUCUUGAAGCAACUUAGUGGCGGACGGGUGAGUAACGCGUGGGUAACCUGCCAUAUACAGGGGGAUAACACUUAGAAAUAGGUGCUAAUACCGCAUAAGCGCACGGAGCUGCAUGGCUCAGUGUGAAAAACUCCGGUGGUAUAUGAUGGACCCGCGUCUGAUUAGCUAGUUGGUAAGGUAACGGCUUACCAAGGCGACGAUCAGUAGCCGGCCUGAGAGGGUGAACGGCCACAUUGGAACUGAGACACGGUCCAAACUCCUACGGGAGGCAGCAGUGGGGGAUAUUGGACAAUGGGGGAAACCCUGAUCCAGCGACGCCGCGUGAGUGAAGAAGUAUUUCGGUAUGUAAAGCUCUAUCAGCAAGGAAGAAAAUGACGGUACUUGACUAAGAAGCCCCGGCUAACUACGUG
This 481-nucleotide ribosomal RNA is filed under the name uncultured bacterium. RNAcentral's name for it is "bacterial SSU rRNA". It matches the Rfam family "Bacterial small subunit ribosomal RNA", at positions 29 to 507 of the family's 1533-position model. The record is from RNAcentral.